UACAGAGGUCUCAAGCGUUGUUCGGAUUCAUUGGGCGUAAAGGGCUCGUAGGCGGCCAACUAAGUCAGACGUGAAAUCCCCAGGCUCAACCUGGGAACUGCGUCUGAUACUGGAUGGCUUGAAUCCGGGAGAGGGAUGCAGAAUUCCAGGUGUAGCGGUGAAAUGCGUAGAUAUCUGGAGGAAUACCGGUGGCGAAGGCGGCAUCCUGGACCGGCAUUGACGCUGAGGAGCGAAAGCCAGGGGAGCAAACGGG
This 253-nucleotide ribosomal RNA is filed under the name uncultured bacterium. Its description in RNAcentral is "partial 16S ribosomal RNA". It matches the Rfam family "Bacterial small subunit ribosomal RNA", at positions 524 to 776 of the family's 1533-position model. The record is from RNAcentral.